This 504-nucleotide ribosomal RNA is filed under the name uncultured bacterium. RNAcentral's name for it is "partial 16S ribosomal RNA". It matches the Rfam family "Bacterial small subunit ribosomal RNA", at positions 28 to 506 of the family's 1533-position model. The record is from RNAcentral.
GACGAACGCUGGCGGCGUGCCUAAUACAUGCAAGUAGAACGCACAGUUUAUACCGUAGCUUGCUACACCAUAGACUGUGAGUUGCGAACGGGUGAGUAACGCGUAGGUAACCUGCCUGGUAGCGGGGGAUAACUAUUGGAAACGAUAGCUAAUACCGCAUAAUAUUAAUUAUUGCAUGAUAAUUGAUUGAAAGAUGCAACUGCAUCACUACCAGAUGGACCUGCGUUGUAUUAGCUAGUAGGUGAGGUAACGGCUCACCUAGGCGACGAUACAUAGCCGACCUGAGAGGGUGAUCGGCCACACUGGGACUGAGACACGGCCCAGACUCCUACGGGAGGCAGCAGUAGGGAAUCUUCGGCAAUGGACGAAAGUCUGACCGAGCAACGCCGCGUGAGUGAAGAAGGUUUUCGGAUCGUAAAGCUCUGUUGUAAGAGAAGAACGGGUGUGAGAGUGGAAAGUUCACACUGUGACGAUAUCUUACCAGAAAGGGACGGCUAACUACGU